Molecule: ribosomal RNA, 385 nt
Filed under: uncultured Katablepharidophyta
Lineage: Eukaryota; Cryptophyceae; Kathablepharidacea
Description: partial small subunit ribosomal RNA
Rfam family: Eukaryotic small subunit ribosomal RNA
Source: RNAcentral
GCUUGUCUCAAAGAUUAAGCCAUGCAUGUCUAAGUGUAAAUAAGUCUAUACUGUGAAACUGCGAAUGGCUCAUUAAAUCAGUUAUCGUUUAUUUGAUGAUCUCUUACUACUUGGAUAACCGUAGUAAUUCUAGAGCUAAUACAUGCACAAAAUCCCGACUUACGAAGGGAUGUAUUUAUUAGAUACAAACCAACAUCGUGGUGAUUCAUAAUAACUGUUCGAAUCGCAUGCUUCGGCAGGCGAUAGUUCAUUCAAAUUUCUGCCCUAUCAGCUUUCGACGGUAGUGUAGUGGACUACCGUGGCGUUAACGGGUAACGGAGAAUUAGGGUUCGAUUCCGGAGAGGGAGCCUGAGAAAUGGCUACCACAUCCAAGGAAGGCAGCAGG